Molecule: ribosomal RNA, 492 nt
Filed under: uncultured bacterium
Lineage: Bacteria
Description: partial 16S ribosomal RNA
Rfam family: Bacterial small subunit ribosomal RNA
Source: RNAcentral
AGUGAACGCUGGCGGUAGGCCUAACACAUGCAAGUCGAACGGCAGCACAGUAAGAGCUUGCUCUUACGGGUGGCGAGUGGCGGACGGGUGAGGAAUACAUCGGAAUCUACUUUUUCGUGGGGGAUAACGUAGGGAAACUUACGCUAAUACCGCAUACGACCUACGGGUGAAAGCAGGGGAUCUUCGGACCUUGCGCGAUUGAAUGAGCCGAUGUCGGAUUAGCUAGUUGGCGGGGUAAAGGCCCACCAAGGCGACGAUCCGUAGCUGGUCUGAGAGGAUGAUCAGCCACACUGGAACUGAGACACGGUCCAGACUCCUACGGGAGGCAGCAGUGGGGAAUAUUGGACAAUGGGCGCAAGCCUGGUCCAGCCAUGCCGCGUGGGUGAAGAAGGCCUUCGGGUUGUAAAGCCCUUUUGUUGGGAAAGAAAAGCAGCAGGUUAAUAUCCCGCUGUUUUGACGGUACCCAAAGAAUAAGCACCGGCUAACUUCGUG